UGGUCCCGGGUGACUUAAGCAUAUCAAUAAGCGGAGGAAAAGAAACCAACAGGGAUUGCCCCAGUAACGGCGAGUGAAGCGGCAAUAGCUCAAAUUUGAAAUCUGGCUCUUUUAGGGUCCGAGUUGUAAUUUGCAGAGGGCGCUUUGGCGUUGGCAGCGGUCCAAGUUCCUUGGAACAGGACGUCACAGAGGGUGAGAAUCCCGUACGUGGUCGCUAUCCUUCGCCGUGUAAAGCCCCUUCGACGAGUCGAGUUGUUUGGGAAUGCAGCUCUAAAUGGGAGGUAAAUUUCUUCUAAAGCUAAAUACUGGCCAGAGACCGAUAGCGCACAAGUAGAGUGAUCGAAAGAUGAAAAGCACUUUGGAAAGAGAGUCAAAUAGCACGUGAAAUUGUUGAAAGGGAAGCGCUUGUAGCCAGACUUGCCUGUAGUUGCUUAUCCAGACUUUUGUCUGGUGCACUCUUCUGCGGGCAGGCCAGCAUCAGUUUGGGCGGUUAGAUAAAGGUCUCUGUCAUGUACCUCUUUUCGGGGAGGCCUUAUAGGGGAGGCGACAUGUAACCAGCCCAGACUGAGGUCCGCGCAUCUGCUAGGAUGCUGGCGUAAUGGCUAUAAGCGGCCCGUCUUGAAACACGGACCAAGGAGUCUAACAUCUAUGCGAGUGUUUGGGUGUCAAGCCCAGACGCGUAAUGAAAGUGAACGGAGGUAAGAACCCUUUGGGUGCAUUAUCGACCGAUCCUGAUGUCUUCGGAAGGAUUUGAGUAAGAGCAUGGCUGUUGGGACCCGAAAGAUGGUGAACUAUGCUUGAAUAGGGUGAAGCCAGAGGAAACUCUGGUGGAGGCUCGCAGCGGUUCUGACGUGCAAAUCGAUCGUCAAAUUUGGGCAUAGGGCGAAAGACUAAUCGA
This 898-nucleotide ribosomal RNA is filed under the name Nodulosphaeria hirta. Its description in RNAcentral is "LSU rRNA". It matches the Rfam family "Eukaryotic large subunit ribosomal RNA", at positions 24 to 938 of the family's 3401-position model. Lineage: Eukaryota; Fungi; Ascomycota; Dothideomycetes; Pleosporales; Phaeosphaeriaceae. The record is from RNAcentral.